AUUGGAGUCCUCAUCCUGAGUUCAAAUCUGGACUGAGACAUUGGCUGUGUUACCCUGGCGAGCUGGAGUUUGGGACAUGAUUGAGAUUGCCAGCUCCGCUCAUGUUGGAUCAUUCCAAGAAUCUUCUUCCUUCGGGGACCUGAAGUGAAUGUGGAACCGUGUGUCUUGUCUCUCAAAGAUGAAAACCAAAGACCACAAGCUCACCUACAAGGAUAUGAAAAGACCUGCAUGAACUGAUGCAGAGUGAAAUGAGCAGAACCAGGAAAACACUGAACAUAGUAACAGCAAUAUUGUGGAAUGAUCAACUGUGAAGGACUCAGCUGUUCUCAGCAAUGCAAUGACCCAGGAUAAUUCU
Molecule: long non-coding RNA, 355 nt
Filed under: Monodelphis domestica (gray short-tailed opossum)
Lineage: Eukaryota; Metazoa; Chordata; Mammalia; Didelphimorphia; Didelphidae
Description: lncRNA (ENSMODG00000047033.1)
Source: RNAcentral